GCGUGGCGACCCCCCCGGCACGUGACCCCGUUGCCAUGGCAGCGCCCCCUGAGGCCUGGCGGGGGGCCCUGGGAAACAGGAAUAUCAAAUAAAUAUAGAAACUGUAAAUGCAAACCUAAGUGUAAGAGUAAAUGUGUAGAAAGCAAAGGGCUGAGUUUUACCAGAUGCUGAACAAGACAUUCCAGCUGCUCUGUCAUGAAUUUGCUAAGGAACCGUAAAAGAAAGUCAAAACAACUCCUCAAAACAUGCAGAAUCAUCCCAGAAUCCCUGAAGCUGGAAAAAACCUCCAGG
Non-coding RNA from Cyanistes caeruleus (blue tit), 291 nucleotides. The record is from RefSeq and is a predicted model, not a curated record. NCBI's taxonomy places the organism in Eukaryota, Metazoa, Chordata, Aves, Passeriformes, Paridae.